Molecule: ribosomal RNA, 390 nt
Filed under: uncultured bacterium
Lineage: Bacteria
Description: bacterial SSU rRNA
Rfam family: Bacterial small subunit ribosomal RNA
Source: RNAcentral
UUACCAGCUUGACAUCUAUGAAAGCUUCGGACAGGUGCUGCAUGGCCGUCGUCAGCUCGUGUCGUGAGAUGUUGGGUUAAGUCCCGCAACGAGCGCAACCCUGUGUUAGUUACCAGCGUACGGGACUCUAACAGACUGCCCAGAUCAAUGGGAGGAAGGUGGGGACGACGUCAGGUCAGUAUGGCCCUUACGCUGGGCUGCACACGUACUACAAUGCAGCACAUGAGCCACCGCGAGGGGAGGAAUCUACAACUGGCUCAGUUCGGAUUGGAGGCUGCAACUCGCCUCCAUGAAGCUGGAAUCGCUAGUAAUGGCAAUCAGCACGUGCCGUGAAUACGUUCCCGGGUCUUGUACACACCGCCCGUCACAUCAUGGAAGUCGGCGACCGAA